CACUGUGUUUACCUGCUUGUUCUCUGAAAGCUUUUAGGACUUUCUUUUUAAAAAAUCUCUGAUGUCUUAAAUUUUACAUCAUGGCUUGUAGUUGGCCAGCUUUCAUAAAACAGGGAAGCUAUUGUUCACCUUGACUGGUUAUAUUGAAGUCCUUGUGAGGGGAAAAGGACCAUCAAAGAGAAGAUCCCUGAGUGCUGGUAACAAUGCAGGGCUAUUUAAAGUGGUCAUGUAUGGAUGUGAGAGUUGGACUAUAAAGAAAGCUGAGCACCGAAGAGUUGAUACUUUUGAACUGUAGUGUUGGAGAAGACUCUUGAGAGUCCCUUGGACUGCAAGGAGAUCCAACCAGUCCAUCCUAGAGGAGAUCAGUCCUGGGUGUUCAUUGGAAGGACUGAUGUUGAAGCUGAAAUUCCAAUACUUUGGCCACCUGAUGUGAAGAGUUGACUCAUUCGAAAAGACCCUGAUGCUGGGAAAGACUGAAGGCAGGAGGAGAAGGGGACGACAGAGGAUGAGAUGGUUGGAUGGCAUCACUGACUCAACGGACGUGGGUUU
This is a long non-coding RNA of Bos taurus (domestic cattle), 549 nucleotides long. The record is from Ensembl. NCBI's taxonomy places the organism in Eukaryota, Metazoa, Chordata, Mammalia, Artiodactyla, Bovidae.